RNAcentral lists this unclassified non-coding RNA (334 nucleotides) under soil metagenome. Its description in RNAcentral is "partial contains 5.8S ribosomal RNA, internal transcribed spacer 2, and large subunit ribosomal RNA". The stretch from base 1 to 120 matches the Rfam family "5.8S ribosomal RNA", at positions 35 to 154 of the family's 154-position model. The record is from RNAcentral.
GAUGAAGAACGCAGCGAAAUGCGAUAAGUAAUGUGAAUUGCAGAAUUCAGUGAAUCAUCGAAUCUUUGAACGCACAUUGCGCCCGACAGUAUUCUGGCGGGCAUGCCUGUUCGAGCGUCAUUUCAACCAUCAAGCCCCCGGCUUGUGUUGGGGACCUGCGGCUGCCGCAGGCCCUGAAAACCAGUGGCGGGCUCGCUAGUCACUCCGAGCGUAGUAAUACAUCUCGCUCAGGGCGUGCUGCGGGUUCCGGCCGUUAAAAAGCCUUAUUUACCCAAGGUUGACCUCGGAUCAGGUAGGAAGACCCGCUGAACUUAAGCAUAUCAUAAGCGGAGGA